GGCUGUCGUCAGCUCGUGUUGUGAAAUGUUGGGUUAAGUCCCGCAACGAGCGCAACCCUUAUCCUUUGUUGCCAGCGGUCCGGCCGGGAACUCAAAGGAGACUGCCAGUGAUAAACUGGAGGAAGGUGGGGAUGACGUCAAGUCAUCAUGGCCCUUACGACCAGGGCUACACACGUGCUACAAUGGCGCAUACAAAGAGAAGCGACCUCGCGAGAGCAAGCGGACCUCAUAAAGUGCGUCGUAGUCCGGAUUGGAGUCUGCAACUCGACUCCAUGAAGUCGGAAUCGCUAGUAAUCGUGGAUCAGAAUGCCACGGUGAAUACGUUCCCGGGCCUUGUACACACCGCCCGUCACACCAUGGGAGUGGGUCGCAAAAGAAGUAGGUAGCUUAACCUUCGGGAGGGCGCUUACCACUUUGUGAUUCAUGACUGGGGUGAAGUCGUAACAAGGUAACCGUAGGGGAACCUGCGGCUGGAUCACCUC
RNAcentral lists this ribosomal RNA (482 nucleotides) under uncultured bacterium. RNAcentral describes it as "bacterial SSU rRNA". It matches the Rfam family "Bacterial small subunit ribosomal RNA", at positions 1047 to 1529 of the family's 1533-position model. The record is from RNAcentral.